Molecule: ribosomal RNA, 482 nt
Filed under: uncultured bacterium
Lineage: Bacteria
Description: partial 16S ribosomal RNA
Rfam family: Bacterial small subunit ribosomal RNA
Source: RNAcentral
GACGAACGCUGGAGGCGUGCUUAACACAUGCAAGUCGAACGAUGAAAUGGAGCUUGCUCCAUGGAUUAGUGGCGAACGGGUGAGUAACACGUGAAUAACCUUCCCUUAAUUUUGGAAUAACACAGGGAAACCUGGGCUAAUACCGGAUAAGUACACCUGUGGCAUCGCAUGGUCUUGGACAGUUUUUCGAUUAAGGAUUGUGUCGCGGGCUAUCAGCUUGUUGGUGAGGUAAUGGCUCACAAAGGCGACGACGGUUAGCCGGCCUGAGAGGGUGAACGGCCACACUGGGACUGAGACACGGACAAGACUCCUACGGGAGGCAGCAGUGGGGAAUAUUGCGCAAUGGACGAAAGUCUGACGCAGCGACGCCUCGUGAGGGACGGAGGUCUUCGGAUUGUAAACCUCUUUCAGCAGGGACGAAGCGAAAGUGACGGUACCUGCAGAAGAAGCACCGGCUAACUAUGUGCCAGCCGCCGCCGUAA